Molecule: ribosomal RNA, 330 nt
Filed under: uncultured eukaryote
Lineage: Eukaryota
Description: partial 18S ribosomal RNA
Rfam family: Eukaryotic small subunit ribosomal RNA
Source: RNAcentral
CCCUUAGAUGUUCGGGGCCGCACGCGUGCUACACUGAAGGAAUCAGCACGUCUUUCUCCUUGUCCGAAAGGACUGGGUAACCCGCUGAACCUCCUUCGUGCUAGGGAUUGGGGCUUGUAAUUCUUCCCCAUGAACGAGGAAUUCCCAGUAAGCGCGAGUCAUAAGCUCGCGUUGAUUACGUCCCUGCCCUUUGUACACACCGCCCGUCGCUACUACCGAUUGGAUGGUUUAGUGAGAUCCUCGGAUUGGUCCCGGCGCGGCCUCUGGUCGUGCCGGAGUGCCGAAAAGAAUGUCGAACUUGAUCAUCUAGAGGAAGUAAAAGUCGUAACA